UACGUAGGGUGCAAGCGUUGUCCGGAAUUAUUGGGCGUAAAGAGCUCGUAGGCGGCUUGUCGCGUCGGCUGUGAAAACCUGGGGCUCAACCCCGGGCCUGCAGCCGAUACGGGCAAGCUAGAGUUCGGUAGGGGAGACUGGAAUUCCUGGUGUAGCGGUGAAAUGCGCAGAUAUCAGGAGGAACACCGGUGGCGAAGGCGGGUCUCUGGGCCGAAACUGACGCUGAGGAGCGAAAGCGUGGGGAGCAAACGGG
This 253-nucleotide ribosomal RNA is filed under the name uncultured bacterium. RNAcentral's name for it is "partial 16S ribosomal RNA". It matches the Rfam family "Bacterial small subunit ribosomal RNA", at positions 524 to 776 of the family's 1533-position model. The record is from RNAcentral.